This is a long non-coding RNA of Penaeus monodon (black tiger shrimp), 213 nucleotides long. RefSeq lists it as uncharacterized. The record is from RefSeq and is a predicted model, not a curated record. NCBI's taxonomy places the organism in Eukaryota, Metazoa, Arthropoda, Malacostraca, Decapoda, Penaeidae. The transcript has 3 exons.
CCUAUAGCCUUCUUCUAGACAUAACAUUCCGAUUCUACGCGAUGUUGCGCCUUCGCUUUGUUGUCCUUCUCGCUGCCUGCUUCGUGGUAGCCAUGGCGAGCCAGAAGUGCAGCCGUUACUGCCAGACUCCUGGGCAGACUGACGUUUGCUGUGAUCCCCCACCUCCCCCUCGCUGCCCCUACCCCCCUCCGUGCAUCGACUUCUUCGCGGCAA